AAUGAGGACUAGAAUCAACGGCAUCACGAGGAUCCCACUGUCUCCCCCCUCCAAUCAGUGAAACUGAUCUCCCCGUGAAGAAGCGGGGAUACAAAUAUAAGACGAGAAGACCCCAUGGAGCUUUAAACCCAACAGCACCCGUUUAUUUUCAUCCUCACAUAAGUUAGGUUAUGCCUGUUUGGUUUUAGGUUGGGGUGACCACGGAGUAUAAAACAACCUCCAUGAAAAAAGGACCAAAAAUCCUUAUUAGAGAAAGACAUUUCUAAAAUUAAUAAAUUAAUUUUUAAUGAUCCGAUAUUCGAUCAACGAACCAAGUUACCC
Molecule: ribosomal RNA, 321 nt
Filed under: Boophis elenae
Lineage: Eukaryota; Metazoa; Chordata; Amphibia; Anura; Mantellidae
Description: partial 16S ribosomal RNA
Rfam family: Bacterial large subunit ribosomal RNA
Source: RNAcentral